This 451-nucleotide ribosomal RNA is filed under the name uncultured bacterium. RNAcentral describes it as "bacterial SSU rRNA". It matches the Rfam family "Bacterial small subunit ribosomal RNA", at positions 330 to 794 of the family's 1533-position model. The record is from RNAcentral.
CCCAGACUCCUACGGGAGGCAGCAGUGGGGAAUAUUGGGCAAUGGGCGCAAGCCUGACCCAGCAACGCCGCGUGAAGGAAGAAGGCUUUCGGGUUGUAAACUUCUUUUCUCAGGGACGAAGCAAGUGACGGUACCUGAGGAAUAAGCCACGGCUAACUACGUGCCAGCAGCCGCGGUAAUACGUAGGUGGCAAGCGUUAUCCGGAUUUACUGGGUGUAAAGGGCGUGUAGGCGGGGACGCAAGUCAGAUGUGAAAACCAUGGGCUCAACCUGUGGCCUGCAUUUGAAACUGUGUUUCUUGAGUACUGGAGAGGCAGACGGAAUUCCUAGUGUAGCGGUGAAAUGCGUAGAUAUUAGGAGGAACACCAGUGGCGAAGGCGGCCUGCUGGGCUUUAACUGACGCUGAGGCUCGAAAGCGUGGGGAGCAAACAGGAUUAGAUACCCCAGUAUGC